GAGGUUGGCAACGACCACCCCAAGCCGGAAAGUUGGUCAAACUCGGUCAUUUAGAGGAAGUAAAAGUCGUAACAAGGUCUCCGUAGGUGAACCUGCGGAGGGAUCAUUA
RNAcentral lists this ribosomal RNA (109 nucleotides) under Pyrenophora leucospermi. Its description in RNAcentral is "partial 18S ribosomal RNA". It matches the Rfam family "Eukaryotic small subunit ribosomal RNA", at positions 1724 to 1831 of the family's 1831-position model. Lineage: Eukaryota; Fungi; Ascomycota; Dothideomycetes; Pleosporales; Pleosporaceae. The record is from RNAcentral.